GACGAACGCUGGCGGCGUGCCUAAUACAUGCAAGUCGAGCGAAUCACUGGGAGCUUGCUCCCGGUGGUUAGCGGCGGACGGGUGAGUAACACGUGGGCAACCUGCCUGUAAGACUGGGAUAACUUCGGGAAACCGGAGCUAAUACCGGAUAAUUUCUUCCCUCACAUGAGGGAAGGUUGAAAGUCGGUUUCGGCUGACACUUACAGAUGGGCCCGCGGCGCAUUAGCUAGUUGGUGAGGUAACGGCUCACCAAGGCGACGAUGCGUAGCCGACCUGGGAGGGUGAUCGGCCACACUGGGACUGGGACACGGCGCAGGCUCCUACGGGAGGCAGCAGUAGGGAAUCUUCCACAAUGGACGAAAGUCUGAUGGAGCACGCCGCGUGAGCGAUGAAGGCCUUCGGGUCGUAAAGCUCUGUUGUCAGGGAAGAACAAGUACAGUAGUAACUGGCUGUACCUUGACGGUACCUUAUUAGAAAGCCACGGCUAACUACGUGCCAGCCGCCGCGGUAA
RNAcentral lists this ribosomal RNA (511 nucleotides) under uncultured bacterium. Its description in RNAcentral is "partial 16S ribosomal RNA". It matches the Rfam family "Bacterial small subunit ribosomal RNA", at positions 28 to 523 of the family's 1533-position model. The record is from RNAcentral.